GCCAGGUGUGUUGGUGCAUGCCUGUAGUCCCAGCUACUUGGGAGGCUGAGGCAAGAGGAUCGCUUGAGCCCAGGAGUUUGAGACUGCAGUGAGCUAUAAUCAUACCACUGUACUCCAGCCUGGGUGACAGAGCAAGACCCUGUCUCUU
RNAcentral lists this non-coding RNA (148 nucleotides) under Nomascus leucogenys (northern white-cheeked gibbon). The record is from Rfam by way of RNAcentral. Lineage: Eukaryota; Metazoa; Chordata; Mammalia; Primates; Hylobatidae.